This 133-nucleotide non-coding RNA is filed under the name Micromonospora halophytica. Its description in RNAcentral is "SAM riboswitch aptamer (S box leader)". It matches the Rfam family "SAM riboswitch aptamer (S box leader)". Rfam says of the family: The SAM riboswitch is found upstream of a number of genes which code for proteins involved in methionine or cysteine biosynthesis in Gram-positive bacteria. The SAM riboswitch acts at the level of transcription termination control. The predicted structure consists of a complex stem-loop region followed by a single stem loop terminator region. The record is from Rfam by way of RNAcentral. RNAcentral also lists the same sequence under 1 other name. Lineage: Bacteria; Bacillati; Actinomycetota; Actinomycetes; Micromonosporales; Micromonosporaceae.
ACCUCAUCCAGAGGGGCUGAGGGAUACGGCCCGACGACGCCCCGGCAACCACCCGCACGCUCGAUGACGAGCCGGCGCGGGCAGGUGCCAAUUCCGUCCCCGCCGCAGGGUGCGAUGCGGGGAAAGAUGAGAG